This 178-nucleotide non-coding RNA is filed under the name Pseudohongiella sp. RNAcentral describes it as "6S RNA". It matches the Rfam family "6S / SsrS RNA". Rfam says of the family: E. coli 6S RNA was the first non coding RNA to be sequenced, but its function was unknown until recently. It consists of 184 nucleotides that fold into an extended hairpin structure with a large single-stranded internal bulge. The 6S RNA specifically associates with RNA polymerase holoenzyme containing the sigma70 specificity factor. Lineage: Bacteria; Pseudomonadati; Pseudomonadota; Gammaproteobacteria; Pseudomonadales; Pseudohongiellaceae. The record is from RNAcentral.
AGUCACCUGGGGUGAACGUCAGCUGAAAGUGUCCUUGAGCCGAUAUUCACAACCCUGGAGGCUCCUCGAUAGAUGUUGUUGUGCAUGUCCGCCUGACGGAAAGCCUUAUGCAUCGCAGGAGCCACCACCUGAGCCUCUGGGUUCAGGGCUAAUUUGGCAGCGGCACCCUGGAUGACUU